UGCAGCUGCUCGGGUACUCGAGUGGCGAACGGGUGAGUAACACGUGGGUGAUCUGCCUUGCACUUCGGGAUAAGCUUGGGAAACUGGGUCUAAUACCGGAUAGGACAGCUGUUUAGUGUCAGUUGUGGAAAGUUUUUUCGGUGCAAGAUGAGCUUGCGGCCUAUCAGCUUGUUGGUGGGGUAAUGGCCUACCAAGGCGUCGACGGGUAGCCGGCCUGAGAGGGUGUACGGCCACAUUGGGACUGAGAUACGGCCCAGACUCCUACGGGAGGCAGCAGUGGGGAAUAUUGCACAAUGGGCGGAAGCCUGAUGCAGCGACGCCGCGUGGGGGAUGAAGGCCUUCGGGUUGUAAACUCCUUUCGACAGGGACGAAGCGUAAGUGACGGUACCUGUAUAAGAAGCACCGGCUAACUACGUGCCAGCAGCCGCGGUAAUACGUAGGGUGCGAGCGUUGUCCGGAAUUACUGGGCGUAAAGAGCUCGUAGGUGGUUUGUCGCGUCGUCUGUGAAAUUCCGGGGCUUAACUCCGGGCGUGCAGGCGAUACGGGCUGACUUGAGUGCUGUAGGGGAGACUGGAAUUCCUGGUGUAGCGGUGAAAUGCGCAGAUAUCAGGAGGAACACCGAUGGCGAAGGCAGGUCUCUGGGCAGUAACUGACGCUGAGGAGCGAAAGCAUGGGUAGCGAACAGGAUUAGAUACCCUGGUAGUCCAUGCCGUAAACGGUGGGCGCUAGGUGUAGGGGGCUUCCACGUCUUCUGUGCCGUAGCUACGCAUUAAGCGCCCCGCCUGGGGAUACGCCCAA
RNAcentral lists this ribosomal RNA (798 nucleotides) under uncultured Actinomycetes bacterium. RNAcentral's name for it is "bacterial SSU rRNA". It matches the Rfam family "Bacterial small subunit ribosomal RNA", at positions 76 to 889 of the family's 1533-position model. The record is from RNAcentral. Lineage: Bacteria; Bacillati; Actinomycetota; Actinomycetes.